Molecule: long non-coding RNA, 534 nt
Filed under: Homo sapiens (human)
Lineage: Eukaryota; Metazoa; Chordata; Mammalia; Primates; Hominidae
Description: HSALNT0373821
Source: RNAcentral
CAUGCCUAGCAUCAUAGGGAAAAACAGCUGGAGCAAUUGAAGUUAGGGUUAAGGAUCUCAAGGGCUUGGACUUCUCAGAGAUGAAGAUCUGGAUCACUCCAUCAGGCAAGCAACGAAGACCAGAUGAAAUGCUGCUUGAAGGGCUGGCAUAUCUAGAAUUGGUGGUAGAAAUAGCAGAACCAUACAUCCAACUUACAUUGCAAUUACUGCAGAGGAAGAGAGAUGGAGAAGUUAAAAUGAAACAUUUCAAGGAUGAAUGGGCACUGAAAAUUGGUAAAGUGGCAGAAAAGUCCAAGCUUGAAGAAUGAAAAAGUAAAUGUAUGGAGAAAAAGGAGUUUGGAAAACAGGAAAAAAAAAGAUAUUUUGCAGAAACAUCUGUUUGCUGUUGCUAAAAAUUUUAGCAUUUAAAUGUUCUCAUUUGGGCUCUGAAGUUAGCACUUCCUUGAAGUAGUUCACACCUUUGCUAUUGCUCCUGUUCAGCUACAGAUCAUUUUAUGCAAGGCUGAUUUUAACAAGAAAAUGGUGCAUUAAUUU